RNAcentral lists this unclassified non-coding RNA (413 nucleotides) under Hevea brasiliensis (rubber tree). The record is from RNAcentral. Lineage: Eukaryota; Viridiplantae; Streptophyta; Magnoliopsida; Malpighiales; Euphorbiaceae.
GAGAGAGAGAGAGAGAGAUUGAAAUUGUGUAAUCUGUAUUCAAUGAAUCCCAUCGGUUACAACUUCAGUCUUUAUAUAGACUUCACAAUUAUUCCUGCCACUUCGUGUUAUGAAUCCGUUAAAAUUAACAACUAUUAACAGAAACUAACUCUCUUGCUUCCUACCUUCACAUAUCAGGUGGAGAAGCAAUUUUGCUAGGAUUUAUAUUGCAUUAUGCUAGUUCUUUUAUGUUUUUUAAGCUAUGGUUGAUAAACUGUUUGUAAUUUUUGCAUCGAUUGACCAUGAUAAGAACUUCUUUAUCGGAGAUACGAGUGCCCAUUUUUCCUCCCAUUUAUUUAUAGUGAGAGAAGGUUGCGGUUUCCCCACUCGAAGGAAUUGGUGGAUCUCUCAGGCGCAUACUGCACGGGGAAGUG